GGAAUCAAGCUGUUAAGGGCAUAGAGUGAAUGCCUUGGUGCCAACAGGCGAUGAAGGACGUGAUAAGCUGCGAUAAGCUUCGGAGAGCCGCACACAGGCUUUGACCCGGAGAUUUCCGAAUGGGGUAACCUGAUUCCAGUAAUAUGGAAUCGUUCCAUCCUGAAUAAAAUAGGGAUGGAUACGCGAUACCUGGUGAAGUGAAACAUCUCAGUAACCAGAGGAAAAGAAAACGAAUGUGAUUCCGUAAGUAGCGGCGAGCGAAAGCGGAAUAGCCCAAACCGGGGCCUUUGGUCCCGGGGUUGUAGGACCCUUGAUGGGACCUCGGAAGGUAGUCUAAAACGUUGGAAAGCGUUUCCAUAGCGGGUGACAGGCCCGUGGACGAAACCGGAAGAGGCCCUGUGGAGUUCCUGAGUAGCGCAGCACACGUGAAACGUUGCGUGAAUCUGCCCCGACCACGGGGUAAGGCUAAAUACUAGUUGGCGACCGAUAGUGAACCAGUACCGUGAGGGAAAGGUGAAAAGUACCGCUGCGAGCGGAGUGAAAUAGAACCUGAAACCCUAUGCCUACAAGGUGUCAGAGCCCCUUUGGGGGUGAUGGCGUGCCUUUUGCUUAAUGAGUCUGCGAGUUACUCUCUGUGGCAAGCUUAAGGUCUUUUGGACCGGAGGCGUAGCGAAAGCGAGUCCGAAUAGGGCGAUUAGUUGCAGGGGGUAGACCCGAAGCGGAGGUGACCUACCCAUGGCCAGGUUGAAGCGUGAGUAAAAUCACGUGGAGGACCGAACCGUUGUGUGUUGAAAAACGCUCGGAUGAGCUGUGGGUAGGAGUGAAAGGCUAAUCAAACCCCGUGAUAGCUGGUUCUCUCCGAAAUGCAUUUAGGUGCAGCGUCACGUGCUGAAGGACGGGGGUAGAGCACUGAAAGGGCUAGGGGGCAUACCCGCCUACCAACCCCUAUCAAACUCCGAAUACCGUCCGGUGGAGCGUGGCAGUGAGACAGUGGGGGAUAAGCUUCAUUGUCGAAAGGGAAACAGCCCAGAUCAGCAGCUAAGGUGCCUAAAGUACGCUAAGUGGAAAGGAGGUGGAGUCUCAUAGACAGUGAGGAUGUUGGCUUAGAAGCAGCCACCAUUUAAAAAAAGCGUAACAGCUUACUCAUCGAGAGACUCUGCGCCGAAAAUAAUUGGCGAUAAGCGUGCUACCGAAGCUCUGGAUGUCAUCCUUAUGGAUGGCGUGGUAGGAGAGCGUUCCCAGUGCAGCGAAGGGUGAUGGUGACUGACCCUGGAGCGCUGGGAAGUGAGUAUGCAGACAUGAGUAACGAUAAGACCGGUGAAAUCCCGGUCCGCCGUAAACCCAAGGUUUCCCGGGCAACGUUUUUCGUCCCGGGGUUAGUCGGGACCUAAGCCGAGGCCGAUAGGCGUAGGCGAUGGAAAGCAGGUCAAUAUUCCUGCACCUCCGACCCUUAAACUGGGGGGACGCGGUUUGAAAAGUAGCUAGGUUAUUGAAUUCCGAGAUGAUCCUACGGGUGAUUCGCACUACCAGACAAACCGCCAAGAAAAGCCCCAGCAUAUGCUAAGGAGCCCGUACCGUAAACCGACACAGGUGGGUGGGUAGAGUAUACCAAGGCGCAAGAGUGAAACCUGGUUAAGGAACUCGGCAAAAUGGCUCCGUAACUUCGGGAUAAGGAGUGCCCCUUUUGGGGGCCGCAGUGAAUUGGCCCAUCCGACUGUUUAGCAAAAACACAGCAUUGUGCUAAGGCGUAAGCCGACGUAUACGAUGUGACACGUGACCAAUGCCAAAAGAUUACGGUAAGGUGUUAGCCCUCGUGGCGAAGCUCCGAGCCCAAGUCCUGGUGAAUGUCGGCCGUAACUAUAACGGUCCUAAGGUAGCGAAAUUCCUUGUCGGGUAAGUUCCGACCUGCACGAAUCGUGCAACG
This 1924-nucleotide ribosomal RNA is filed under the name Roseibacillus sp. RNAcentral describes it as "bacterial LSU rRNA". It matches the Rfam family "Bacterial large subunit ribosomal RNA", at positions 1 to 2006 of the family's 2925-position model. Lineage: Bacteria; Pseudomonadati; Verrucomicrobiota; Verrucomicrobiia; Verrucomicrobiales; Verrucomicrobiaceae. The record is from RNAcentral.